This 409-nucleotide ribosomal RNA is filed under the name uncultured bacterium. Its description in RNAcentral is "bacterial SSU rRNA". It matches the Rfam family "Bacterial small subunit ribosomal RNA", at positions 505 to 916 of the family's 1533-position model. The record is from RNAcentral.
GUGGCAGCCGCCGCGGUAAUACGGAGGGUGCAAGCGUUAUCCGGAUUCAUUGGGUUUAAAGGGUGCGCAGGCGGAUUAUUAAGUUAGUGGUGAAAUCCCGGGGCUCAACCUCGGAACUGCCAUUAAUACUGGUAAUCUGGAAUACGGUUGAAGUGGGCGGAGUGUAGCAUGUAGCGGUGAAAUGCAUAGAGAUGCUACAGAACACCGAUCGCGAAGGCAGCUCACUAAGCCGAUAUUGACGCUCAGGCACGAAAGCGUGGGGAGCGAACAGGAUUAGAUACCCUGGUAGUCCACGCCGUAAACGAUGAUAACUCGUUGUUGGCGACACACAGUCAGCGACUAAGCGAAAGCGAUAAGUUAUCCACCUGGGGAGUACGAUCGCAAGGUUGAAACUCAAAUGAAUUGACGG